GUCUGCCUGUUCCCUUUUUGUAUAACCAUCAUGGAUGCCCUUGAUAGGUUACCUCUGGUAGCAGAGAGAAUGUUCCAGCCCUGUCUGAGGUCCCCAUUGGCUUCCUCUGGAGAGAAUUACUCCAAACCCGCCCUGGAAAGGAAGAUGAACAUAGAAGCAGAAGCCAGGGAGUUGCCAUGAUUAAAGGAAAUUUAUUCAUUAGAAACCCUCUGAUACUGAUUGCAAACUAA
Non-coding RNA from Phascolarctos cinereus (koala), 230 nucleotides. Lineage: Eukaryota; Metazoa; Chordata; Mammalia; Diprotodontia; Phascolarctidae. The record is from RefSeq and is a predicted model, not a curated record.